RNAcentral lists this ribosomal RNA (557 nucleotides) under Klebsiella pneumoniae. RNAcentral's name for it is "bacterial SSU rRNA". It matches the Rfam family "Bacterial small subunit ribosomal RNA", at positions 42 to 573 of the family's 1533-position model. Lineage: Bacteria; Pseudomonadati; Pseudomonadota; Gammaproteobacteria; Enterobacterales; Enterobacteriaceae. The record is from RNAcentral.
GCAGGCCUAACACAUGCAAGUNCGAGCGGUAGCACAGAGAGCUNGGCUNCUCGGGUGACGAGCGGCGGACGGGUGAGUAAUGUCUGGGAAACUGCCUGAUGGAGGGGGAUAACUACUGGAAACGGUAGCUAAUACCGCAUAACGUCGCAAGACCAAAGUGGGGGACCUUCGGGCCUCAUGCCAUCAGAUGUGCCCAGAUGGGAUUAGCUAGUAGGUGGGGUAACGGCUCACCUAGGCGACGAUCCCUAGCUGGUCUGAGAGGAUGACCAGCCACACUGGAACUGAGACACGGUCCAGACUCCCUACGGGAGGGCAGCAGUGGGGGAAUAUUUGCACAAUGGGGCGCAAAGCCUGAUGCAGCCAUGCCCGCGNGNGUGAAGAAGGCCCUUUCGGGGUUGUAAAGCACUUUCAGCGGGGAGGAAAGGCGNUUAAGGUUAAUAACCUUUGUCGAUUGACGUUACCCGCAGAAAGAAGCACCGGCUAACUCCGUGCCAGCAGCCGCGGUAAUACGGAGGGUGCAAGCGUUAAUCGGAAUUACUGGGCGUAAAGCGCACGCA